RNAcentral lists this ribosomal RNA (347 nucleotides) under Babesia bigemina. RNAcentral's name for it is "SSU rRNA". It matches the Rfam family "Eukaryotic small subunit ribosomal RNA", at positions 743 to 1094 of the family's 1831-position model. The record is from RNAcentral. Lineage: Eukaryota; Apicomplexa; Aconoidasida; Piroplasmida; Babesiidae.
GCUUUUUUUUUACUUUGAGAAAAUUAGAGUGUUUCAAGCAGACUUUUGUCUUGAAUACUUCAGCAUGGAAUAAUAGAGUAGGACCUUGGUUCUAUUUUGUUGGUUUCGAGCCUUGGUAAUGGUUAAUAGGAACGGUUGGGGGCAUUCGUAUUUAACUGUCAGAGGUGAAAUUCUUAGAUUUGUUAAAGACGAACGGCUGCGAAAGCAUUUGCCAAGGACGUUUUCAUUAAUCAAGAACGAAAGUUAGGGGAUCGAAGACGAUCAGAUACCGUCGUAGUCCUAACCAUAAACUAUGCCGACUAGGGAUUGGAGGUCGUCAUUUUCCGACUCCUUCAGCACCUUGAGAG